CAGCAUAUUUUCAGCACUGGACAGCACCUUCUCUCUAGCUUCUCUUUCUCGGGAUUUGUUAUUGUUGGUUGUUUUCUCAUUCACAUGCAUGUCCACGCGAUCCCUUUCAGUGAAGUGUUUACUGGAGCACUUCAUUGAUUCACUAGCCUUUGGUGCUCCAAAUGUUCCUUCUCAUGAGGUUUACUUGGCCGAGUGAGCAGUCCGAAGCUCAUGCGUCAUUAAAAAUAAAUGGCGAAAAAUGAUCGGGGAGCACGAACUGGACCUCGAGAUUAAUGAGAACGCUCUCUUGGGCUAUGUUUUACGUGAAGUCUAAAUAAGACAACUAUCAUACACAUUUAAAGGGAAAAUUUAAGUCAUUUUACCAGACUGCCAGAGUAUUCGCACGCUUAAGUUACCUGUGGUUAUUCUUAAACGUGAAUGAAAGAGACUUUCAGUCAGGCGCGCGCACAGGGAGUGUGACAGAACGGCUUUCGAUGCACUUUUACCUCAUGACAAACAGUAAAGUUUUAUAUUUGAUUUGUACUUUUUCUCUGCUGGUUUACUGGUAAGCACUUUACUGUGAAACGUGCGUGACACAAACAACGACAGGCUACUAGUACUAUAACCUAUACAUGGUAAGAAUCUUCUUUAAACGUCGCAAGGGAACGUUCUUACAACGUCAUAAAAUUUUAAAACGUGAAAAUAUUUAUUAGUUCAAAAAUCGACAUCUGUCGUAUUACGCACUUACGAUAAAACAUUAACAUCCUUCCCAAGGCUUUCACAACGUAGCCUAGUUGCGGCGAAGGCUCGCAGAAUACGUAAUGAAUACAGGAUACGUCAGAGGUCUGUGGGCAGUCAUCUUUCCAACCAACACCUUUUUUCCAACACCAAUUCAGUGAACGGGACUGGACUGUUAUAUCAGGGCUGUCAUGAUGGCUAACUGGCUGAAAUAAAUCCAACGACUAACGGAUAUUUCUAGUCAGUUCUCUUGGAAUUGUAAAGCUGAAUUCCCAGAUUGUGAACAAUGAAGACGUCUGAGAUUACGUGGGGCGCUUUUAACGGAGCGACCGAGACUAACGGGACGCGCGCGGAGAAAGUUCAGCACGUGCUCCAGCCCUUCUCAUCCACUGUGGCGCUUCUCGUGCUGGGGAUGGUCAUUAUAGGGAUUAUUUUACUGUCAUUGACCACCUAUCACUUUCACAAAAGCAAGAUGAAGAAGAGGAAGAUGCUGAGGGCACAGGAGGAAUAUGAGCGGGAUAACUGUGGCUCCUCUGUCCCCGUCAAAGUGAAUCCCGCGCUGAGCCGCUGCGUGAUCGCUCGCCCCGCUCCACCGCAACGUCCACCGACAGACACUGACGCUAAACCUCGCGACGGAGUCACGGGCUCCUCAUAACUGGACCAAUGAAAACUAUGACUUUUGUAAAUAUGUAAGAUGAGCAGGCAUCUAUAAUCUGAUGAUGAGAUGAGACUGGACUUUCCUGAAAUCAUCGUAUGGUGGACUUUACACAGUAUCUGAAUAAUGACUGUCCUUUAAUUUAAGAACAGCUGAGUUGAAUGCGUUAUAAUUGGAAAUCAAUGGAUGGUGAAACACAACAGUGGGCCAGUGCUUGAGAGAAAUCUUGAUUUGGGAUUCUCUCAAGAUGCUGUCCAAGGUGCUGAUUGUUAUUCUGUACUCCUUUAACCCAUUUAAUCCCUCAAAUUACAUAAUUUUUUGUGUUGGAAUGGUUUAAAAGAGUAGUUGAGGUGUUUUGCACACAGUAAAUGACUUUGCAGGCUGUCUUGGUUUCAUGUGAACAUUUUUAAAUGGCUGGUGUAAACUGUCACAUGACCUCUGGUUAAAUUCCAUGUUUGAUAAUUAUAGAUUCAGAAAAGCAUGUUAUUAAUGUAGGAUUUAAAUUGCUCCUUUCAUACAUGGAGACAUGUCAGUGGUUACAUAUGUGCCUGGUGGGAAACCAAGAACCCCUUUCUAAUAAUUAACUGAUUAGAAUCCAAUCAAUGUAUUGUUACAGUAAUCAAACACAAAGUAAUAUUUGUUAAUUAAUUCUUACUCUUCCUUUUCCGAAACUACCUGAUAAAAAUACAUUAACAUGUUUAAUGUUAAAAUGUAGAAUAUAAAUGUGUUUAUAUUUUUCAGUCUACAAUUGUGAGCAUUUUUUAUUUUAUUUAUUUUUUUACUUUUUGUAUUAUUAUUAUAUUAUUUAUUUUGUAUGCCAUUCAUUUCAUAGGUCUAUUCAAGGUGUAAUAAAAUAAGGAUUAAAUGGGUUAACUCUGUCUAAUCAGGAGUGGAAUGAUCUAAAACUAGAGCUUUGCUAUUCUACUGUUAGGAAAGUUACUAUCAGUAUUAGACUAUAUAUUUGUUUGUAAUUGAAGAUGAUGAUUGAAACAAUAUUACAGAGCUUAGACAGGAGCUCAGUCAGCAUUCUGUUAUACUAUCCUCUUGAAUUUACCAUAUCCAUAACCAAGCAUUUAACAGAACCAUGUACUAAUCAUACCGAUAUUAAAGCACAUUUAUCUAAAAGAUCAUUGGUAAUAUGCUCCUUUCAGAUUUGUACCUCUGACUCUUUUAUGUUGUUAAAACAUACUCUAAUAGUUGUGAUGACUUACAUGUAAAUAAUAAAGCAUAUUUGACUACA
Long non-coding RNA from Carassius auratus (goldfish), 2612 nucleotides. RefSeq lists it as uncharacterized. The transcript is spliced from 2 exons. The record is from RefSeq and is a predicted model, not a curated record. Lineage: Eukaryota; Metazoa; Chordata; Actinopteri; Cypriniformes; Cyprinidae.